Molecule: ribosomal RNA, 439 nt
Filed under: uncultured bacterium
Lineage: Bacteria
Description: partial 16S ribosomal RNA
Rfam family: Bacterial small subunit ribosomal RNA
Source: RNAcentral
CUACGGGCCGCUGCAGUGAGGAAUAUUGCACAAUGGGGGGAACCCUGAUGCAGCAACGCCGCGUGGAGGAUGACGCAUUUCGGUGUGUAAACUCCUUUUAUAUAUCAAGAAGAUGACGGUAGCAUAUGAAUAAGCACCGGCUAACUCCGUGCCAGCAGCCGCGGUAAUACGGAGGGUGCAAGCGUUACUCGGAAUCACUGGGCGUAAAGGACGCGUAGGCGGGUUGGAAAGUCAGGUGUGAAAUCCUACAGCUUAACUGUAGAACUGCACUUGAAACUUCUAAUCUAGAGUAUGGGAGGGGGAGAUGGAAUUAGUGGUGUAGGGGUAAAAUCCGUAGAUAUCACUAGGAAUACCUAAAGCGAAGGCGAUCUCCUGGAACAUUACUGACGCUAAGGCGUGAAAGCGUGGGGAGCAAACAGGAUUAGAUACCCUAGUAGUC